GCCCUGAUGGUCUAGCGGUAUGAUUCUCCCUUAGGGUUAAAAACCCACAUCUGGGAGAGGUCCCAGGUUCGAUCCCUGGUUAGGGCC
Colletotrichum eremochloae is the source of this 87-nucleotide non-coding RNA. The record is from the annotation of a GenBank genome assembly. NCBI's taxonomy places the organism in Eukaryota, Fungi, Ascomycota, Sordariomycetes, Glomerellales, Glomerellaceae.